CGCUCUCCCGUUUCCGGAAUCCCCGCAGGCGCUGGGUCUGCAGAUGGCGUCCAGGUACACAGUGGCGAGUGUGAUUCCGCAGUCUUGGGCUGUUUGGCCAAGCGCCCGCCGGACAUGGUACGCCGAAGGGUCAUCGGCGUGGAGUCCUCGCUUUCAGCGUCCGCGGCUGGGAAAUCGGCCAUCGCUACGGCGGGAACUGGGACUCGGGCUGCGUCCCGGCCCUUCCACAUCGGUCCACCGCACUCGUGGGCGCCCGCAUUGGUGCUGACAUAAUUUCCUGACCUCUGACCCGUAUUGUCUCGCGAUUAAAGAGCUGCGCCUGGAUCCCUCAGCAGUGAGGAGACCUGAAGACCAGAGGAAACACAGCAAGGGCUCACCAGAGAAGACAGGGCAAGGUGAGGGGGAUCUCCUAGCAGAGGAAACAACAUGCGCCAAUCAAGCAAAGAUAUUUUUGUGCAUUCAAGGAACACAGAGAGGAAAGACAGUGGCAGAUGGAGACGUAUAAAGCAGGGAUCCUGUUAUGAAAAGCCCUAAAAAAUAGGGUAUAGAGUUUGGGCCAUAUUUCAGAGGUAAUAAGAAAGCAUUCUGCAUUUUUAAAGUAAGGUUUAAAAAUGUUUCUAAUUAGAGAUACAGCAAAGUUGGUGUGAGAGGAUAAAGACUGAUAUACAUAAUCUGAGGAGUUCAUGAAAAUUCCAUGUAAAGCCUGUAGUAUGAAUUGGUCCUAGGAGACAGACAGCUUCAGGGGCAUAGAGAACUUUAAGCACUUUUCCAAGAAGAGUGAAGGGCUGGAGAAUAAAUUGUGAACUAAAAUAUAUUUUGUGUUUGAGAACAUGAAGUACUUGAGAGUGAUUAUUACACGGUUUUAAGAAAAAACUAGUUCUUUUAAAUAAAACUUUUUUUUAGCUGAGCACAGU
RNAcentral lists this long non-coding RNA (914 nucleotides) under Homo sapiens (human). Its description in RNAcentral is "ZNF790 antisense RNA 1". The record is from RNAcentral. Lineage: Eukaryota; Metazoa; Chordata; Mammalia; Primates; Hominidae.